RNAcentral lists this ribosomal RNA (429 nucleotides) under uncultured bacterium. Its description in RNAcentral is "bacterial SSU rRNA". It matches the Rfam family "Bacterial small subunit ribosomal RNA", at positions 355 to 776 of the family's 1533-position model. The record is from RNAcentral.
UGGGGAAUAUUGCGCAAUGGGCGAAAGCCUGACGCAGCGACGCCGCGUGAGGGAUGAAGGUUUUCGGAUCGUAAACCUCUGUCAGAAGGGAAGAAAGUGCGUGGUGCUAAUCAGCCGCGUAUUGACGGUACCUUCAAAGGAAGCACCGGCUAACUCCGUGCCAGCAGCCGCGGUAAUACGGAGGGUGCGAGCGUUAAUCGGAAUUACUGGGCGUAAAGCGCACGUAGGCUGUUGUGUAAGUCAGGGGUGAAAUCCCACGGCUCAACCGUGGAACUGCCCUUGAUACUGCAUGACUGGAAUCCGGGAGAGGGUGGCGGAAUUCCAGGUGUAGGAGUGAAAUCCGUAGAUAUCUGGAGGAACAUCAGUGGCGAAGGCGGCCACCUGGACCGGUAUUGACGCUGAGGUGCGAAAGCGUGGGGAGCAAACAGG